AGUGAACGCUGGCGGUAGGCCUAACACAUGCAAGUCGAACGGCAGCACAGUAAGAGCUUGCUCUUACGGGUGGCGAGUGGCGGACGGGUGAGGAAUACAUCGGAAUCUACUUUUUCGUGGGGGAUAACGUAGGGAAACUUACGCUAAUACCGCAUACGACCUACGGGUGAAAGCAGGGGAUCUUCGGACCUUGCGCGAUUGAAUGAGCCGAUGUCGGAUUAGCUAGUUGGCGGGGUAAAGGCCCACCAAGGCGACGAUCAGUAGCUGGUCUGAGAGGAUGAUCAGCCACACUGGAACGGAGACACGGUCCAGACUCCUACGGGAGGCAGCAGUGGGGAAUAUUGGACAAUGGGCGCAAGCCUGAUCCAGCCAUACCGCGUGGGUGAAGAAGGCCUUCGGGGUGUAAAGCCCUUUUGUUGGGAAAGAAAAGCAGCAGGUUAAUACCCCGCUGUGCUGACGGUACCCAAAGAAGAAGCACCGGCUAACUUCGUG
RNAcentral lists this ribosomal RNA (492 nucleotides) under uncultured bacterium. Its description in RNAcentral is "partial 16S ribosomal RNA". It matches the Rfam family "Bacterial small subunit ribosomal RNA", at positions 29 to 507 of the family's 1533-position model. The record is from RNAcentral.